GCUGGGCGUGGUGGCGCACCCCUGUAAUCCCAGCAGCUGUGGCGGCUGAGGCAGGAGGAUUUCGAGUUCAAAGCCUGCCUGGCCAACUUAGUGAGGCCCUAAACAAUUUAGGGAGACCCUGACUCAA
Molecule: small RNA, 127 nt
Filed under: Marmota monax (woodchuck)
Lineage: Eukaryota; Metazoa; Chordata; Mammalia; Rodentia; Sciuridae
Source: RNAcentral